UUUCUCUCUCUUCUCUCAUUUCUAGAGAGAGAAGCUCUGCCUUCUCUCUAGAAUUUCUUCAUCUUCUUCGACGAGGAGAGGCUACCGGAGAUAGUUCCGGCGCGGUGGUCGGCGAGUUUUCGCGGCGGCGCCACCGCGCCGGAGUUAAAAACUCCUCCUUUUUUUGAUUUUUUUUACCAAAAGAUUACCCUUUCCCUUCUCCUCUCUUUUUUGAAAACGGUUUUUUGAAAUGAGGUUUAACGGACCCUAGAUCUACAAAAAGGGUUACUACCUUUUUAUUGUUUUUUUUUCUUGAUCUGGAUCUGUGUAGGUUUGUUGAUGAGGUUCGGUUUUGUACGGAUUUGAUUUGGUUGCGAUAUGGGUUGCUUGUAUUUAUAGAGCAAAAUUUUGUUGCUUGGAGAGGAGACAUUACAGGCUGGGAUUAGCUGUUUGUGAGCUGUGUUUGGGACUUUUCUUUUGGACUUAUCACUUAAAAAAUAAUAAAAAGGAAUGAACAUGUAUAUUUUUGGAUUUUUAUGGGAAAAUAAAAAGAUAAAUAAGACCAAGGGACUAAAAUUCAAUUUAGAAUUAAAAAGAAAAUUAAUAAAAGAUGGAAGUUUAAAAAAUAGAAGUAGUAAAUAGAAUAAUUGAGAGAAGAGAGCCCGACUCGGAAUCAAAUAUGAGGUAUGACAAGCCGCAAAUCAUAUUUCUCAUUUUGUAGUUAUUAACUAUUUUUUGUAAGUUACAAUGUAAUGAAAAGGAAAAACUGAAGUUUCCCCUAACACUAAUUUCUUGGUUAUUUAAUUCCCAUUAUAGCCGCAAUUCAUAUUUCCCACUAAGUGUUUUUCUUAAUCAGCAUUGCACUAUGAAAUUGAAGUUUCCCACCCUCAACCCUUCAGUUCAGCCGAGCCAUAUUUAAACCCCUCCCUCUUUCGCAUGUCCAUGCUUGCACUAUAUAAGCCAUGUUGCGUGAGCAGCUUGAUUUGCCAUUGUUCCAAGCAAAUUCGUAACAUACCUGUUUCAAGCAUGGGAGAUCGUCCACUCCUAGCAUUGCUCUCCUACCAAUUCCUCACUGGUAUAGCCAUUACUCCCAUAAUAAUCUUGCUUCAGUUGAAAAGGAUGGUAGAUGCAUGAAGAAUUCAGCAGGGUGAAACGAUAAAGAUCGGUGCUCCAGCUCCCGGCUUCAACAAGACUCUCUAUGUUAGUCGUAUGCGUGUUUGAAAAAGAUGAAUGGAAUUUACGAAAUCUGUCAGCUUCGUAUCAAUUUGCGUUUUAAAUUCUGAAAGGAUCUAUUAUGUGGUGCUUUUAGUUUUUUUUCUUUUCAGUAUUGAACUAUGUAUUCAAUCAAUAUGUACGAGUCUUCAUGCUUAAUAUAAUUAUAAAGUUUUUGUUACUUUUACCAUAUGUUAUAAUUGCUUAUAAUUUUUAAAGA
Molecule: long non-coding RNA, 1411 nt
Organism: Medicago truncatula (barrel medic)
Lineage: Eukaryota; Viridiplantae; Streptophyta; Magnoliopsida; Fabales; Fabaceae
Exons: 2
Source: RefSeq, a predicted model, not a curated record